GAUGAACGCUGGCGGCGUGCCUAAUACAUGCAAGUCGAGCGAACGGACGAGAAGCUUGCUUUUCUGAUGUUAGUGGCGGACGGGUGAGUAACACGUGGAUAACCUACCUAUAAGACUGGGAUAACUUCGGGAAACCGGAGCUAAUACCGGAUAAUAUUUUGAACCGCAUGGUUCAAAAGUGAAAGACGGUCUUGCUGUCACUUAUAGAUGGAUCCGCGCUGCAUUAGCUAGUUGGUGAGGUAACGGCUUACCAAGGCAACGAUGCAUAGCCGACCUGAGAGGGUGAUCGGCCACACUGGAACUGAGACACGGUCCAGACUCCUACGGGAGGCAGCAGUAGGGAAUCUUCCGCAAUGGGCGAAAGCCUGACGGAGCAACGCCGCGUGAGUGAUGAAGGUCUUCGGAUCGUAAAACUCUGUUAUUAGGGAAGAACAUAUGUGUAAGUAACUGUGCACAUCUUGACGGUACCUAAUCAGAAAGCCACGGCUAACUACGUG
This 497-nucleotide ribosomal RNA is filed under the name uncultured bacterium. Its description in RNAcentral is "partial 16S ribosomal RNA". It matches the Rfam family "Bacterial small subunit ribosomal RNA", at positions 28 to 507 of the family's 1533-position model. The record is from RNAcentral.